GAUAUCAGUGCAGAUUUUUUAUGCCUGUGUAAAUAGUGUAAAUUUACAUAGUUUCUGACAACUUAGCCAUCUCCAGAGUAAUGGUAAGAAACAGCUGACUUCCCGCAUGUGUGGGUUUAGAAAACCUAUGUGUAGUAUAUUCUACGAGAGUGCAACCAGCAUUACGCGUACUGGGUGUUUCUGUGUCCGAGAUGUCACUGUACCUUGAAAUGACCUAUUUUUAUGGUGCUAACAUACUAGUCAAGAUUUUAUAUAGACUUUAGGAUAUAUCAAAAGGCGUCUGUAAAGCUACGCUUGUGAUUGCACUGUCUCAAGGGUCUGCUAAGUUAUAAACCAGAAUAAAGCUUUUGCAAAUACAUAUGUUUUGCAGUGGUGUCAAGAUGGGCCCAUCAACCUUUGAUUACACGAUAUUCACGAUAGACCCAGAAUAUUAUUGCACAAGAAAGAAUCAAGAAAAAAGACAGUGCGGCUCAGGCGGAAUAUACGAAAAUUAUUGUCCCGGCGUAUCAAGACUAUGGUGCAAUUAUUACAACUACGUGUCGUUUCGGAAACGCCCUUGUGGCUGCAUAGAUGGAACGUGCAGGAAUAGGCACCUGGAAUGCGUGCCGUGUAAAGAAUGCGACAAUUGCACCCACAGAGGACAGGAGCUCUCAAGCGAUGACUACACGUACUUUAAUGACCCUUGUGAAAAAGCGAUUUGCUCCUUUAGGGUUGGCAUCGUUCACAGAUGUCCGAAUAACAAACCAGCGUCAUACAGCAGCUGCGUGACCAAACGUCGAACUGGACGUUACCCAACGUGCUGUCAGUGGGUGACAACCUGUUAGAUACAACUAAGACGAUUUCUCUUCGCUCGCUUGUAGGUUACACGUAUCUCUGUUCGCGCCCUGUAGAGUUCCACAAUUUUGUGGAUGAAGAACUAAUAAACAGUUUCUGUUUUAUUUCAA
Molecule: non-coding RNA, 944 nt
Organism: Dermacentor andersoni
Lineage: Eukaryota; Metazoa; Arthropoda; Arachnida; Ixodida; Ixodidae
Source: RefSeq, a predicted model, not a curated record